This 326-nucleotide long non-coding RNA is filed under the name Glycine max (soybean). Its description in RNAcentral is "long non-coding RNA (GMAX_LNC003884)". Lineage: Eukaryota; Viridiplantae; Streptophyta; Magnoliopsida; Fabales; Fabaceae. The record is from RNAcentral.
UCACAACAGCAUUCUUCUUUCUGUCAAGCAUCAAUGCUCUUCCGAGUGGAAAAGGACAUACAAAUAAAGUCAGCUAUUUAUUAAGUAAGAACAACAACAAUAAUACUAAUAAUUAAUAAAAUGGGGGAAGGGAGGGGAAAGAUUAAAAAAGGUUGCAUAAUUAGAGCAUUGGAACAGGGGAAGAUUCUUGUAUAAAGAGGGUGUCGUCCAAUACUAAUCAUUAUAUUUCCCCUCUCCUUUCCCUUGAAACCACAAAUGUAGAGAGGUGCACUGCAUACCAUACUGGCGAAAAAGGCUCAACCUCUAGAGAGAGAGAGAAUGAAUGA